UGCAUUGGAUUGAGACAAUGUACAAAUGUUAUCGAUAAACAAUUGGAGGGCAAGUCUGGUGCCAGCAGCCGCGGUAAUUCCAGCUCCAAUAGCGUAUAUUAACGUUGUUGCAGUUAAAAAGCUCGUAGUUGAAAUGUGGGAUGAAGUAUAUAAUGAAUUUCUAAUUCAAUUAUAUAUUGAUUCCCCUCUCCAAUUUAUUAUUAUGGGUAUUAAUUUAUUUGUAAUAAGAAUUGGUCAUUUACUGUGAGAAAAUUAGAGUGUUCAAAGCAGGCAUUUGCUUGAAUAGAUUAGCAUGGAAUAAUACUAAAAGGCUUUUAUGGUCGAUUUAAUUGGUUUGUUCAUAAAAGCAAGAUUAAAAGGAACAGUUGGGGGUAUUCAUAUUCAAUAGUUAGAGGUGAAAUUCUCGGAUUUAUGGAAGAGAAAGGCCCCAAAACACAAGUUGUGGUGGGGACCCCAACCUGG
RNAcentral lists this ribosomal RNA (462 nucleotides) under Blastocystis sp. subtype 5. RNAcentral describes it as "SSU rRNA". It matches the Rfam family "Eukaryotic small subunit ribosomal RNA", at positions 505 to 967 of the family's 1831-position model. Lineage: Eukaryota; Bigyra; Opalinata; Blastocystidae. The record is from RNAcentral.